This is a non-coding RNA of Vicia faba (fava bean), 240 nucleotides long. The record is from the annotation of a GenBank genome assembly. NCBI's taxonomy places the organism in Eukaryota, Viridiplantae, Streptophyta, Magnoliopsida, Fabales, Fabaceae.
AUGGUUACCAAAUCAGAAUUUUGCAGCGACAAAGAGGAGGAGAUACUGCAAUUGGGAAGGGUGGCUGCACGGUCAUGGUCGCGUAAAGCUUGCAGAGUUGUUGUUGUUCGGUCGUGUCGGGGCUGCUUGCAGUUUGAAGAGACAGGUCAUUUGGAUCUCGGUCGUGGGUCGCGGCAGAGGUUGGAUUACGAAGCGUUGGGUUCGUGGGUUGAUGGAUUCGAUAGGGUAGGUGUUGUUUAG